RNAcentral lists this long non-coding RNA (5575 nucleotides) under Sus scrofa (pig). Its description in RNAcentral is "lncRNA (ENSSSCG00000054489.1)". The record is from RNAcentral. Lineage: Eukaryota; Metazoa; Chordata; Mammalia; Artiodactyla; Suidae.
AGAUCAGGGCAUGUACAUUUUGUAGACUUAUUCCCAGAUGAGCCAUAACAAAUAGCUAAAGCAUACUUUCCACUGGUGGCAAAUUGCUCCUGGGAAACAUACUGAUUCACUUGUGGAUUAAAAACACAGCAGUUAGAAUCACUUUCAUAUAGGCUAACUUCACAGCUCUUGAUAGUGAAGAGAAAUUUUUUUUUUUUUUUUUAGCUUUCAAAAGAUUCAUAGAUGUCUCCCUAUUUCUUUGAACUGUCAUUAUGUUUAAAUGGGGUGAGAAAACUACCAAAAAUGUUUAAAUCAUGCGUUCCUGAUGCAAACAUCAGUAGUCUCUUGUCUUUUACUAACUACAUUUAAACAUACCAGAGAUGAAAUUGUUGGACUAUGAGAUUACAAUCCCUUUUGACGGGUUAAUAAUCUUGCUUAUUAAUAGAAACAAUUCAGACCAGAAUUCUACCUUGCAAUUUUGCUAUGGGAAGUGUAGGCAAGAUUUCACCAAGAACAAAACAAUCUCGCAAACCAAUUUGAAUGAUCUGAGAGCUGUGUUUGCUUAAUGUACAGUUUAGUAGUGGUAUCACGCUUUGGCUCUGUUGUCCUUUCUUUGAACUCAAGGGUAGGCUUGGGGGAUGUUAUUGGAACCACAUGCUUUCAUUCAGGUUGACGGUUUUCUUCAGAAGACAUAGUAGGGUCUUCAUGAUUUGUCUCAGGUUGCAAGUCAGCUGUCCAAUGAUGAAGAAUCAUCUAUAUGUUUCAGUGGGUUUAGGCUUAAAAAACACUCUCAAGAUAUUAAUUUGCCAUUGUUUUAGGUAUAAAAGUGAAAUAUUCCAAAACAUGAUAUGUUAAAGUUUACAGUGGAAAUAUUUUCAAAUACAACUAGGUGGUUGAAUUUUCAUAGUAUAAUGCUUUUUCUCAUUUUUAUCAUGGAAAAGCACAAAUAUUUUAAAUAUUUUUGUGUUUGUUUUUACCAAGGAAAAACCACUCGAAAAGCAAGAGGGCAGUUUGAUGUCUAAAAUGGAAAGGGUAAAUUGCUGCCCUAUCACAUAAGUGGCUUUUGUAGGUUGGAAGUGAAAAAUAUUUUUAAUUUAAAAGUGAAUUUGGAGAUCUGAGCAUGCUCACUGUACAUCACUUUAAAAUUAUUAAAGUAGUUUGAUUUAAUAGAGUGAAUCUUCUCAGGCUGAGGAGUACUUCACUUUGCACUGCAAAAGCUCAGAUGUUAGAACCCGAUCACUUCCCAGAUGAAGAGCUUAUAAAAAAAUGUGAAGUACUCUAAUAAUUUUAAAUUACUCUAUAUUGCACAUUUUCAGGUCUCUGAUCACCUCCAAAUUCAAGUGCUUAUAAAACUGCUCCCAUAAUUUUAAAUUGCUAUGUGCACAGUGAUUUAAAAUUGUGAGAGUGCUUCAAAGUUUUUUAAUAAGUGCUUUAAUUUAGAAGUGAGUUGAGCAAUACUCCAGUAUAACUUCAAGAAUUUAUUAAACCGAUAUAAAAAUUUAUCCUCUGGAAAGAAAAUUACAUUACGUAUAAAAGGGUGAGGCUCCAAAUGAAUAUAUAUGAGGAUGAAAGUACCAAAUGCUCAGGAACAAUCAGUAAAUGAAAUGAGAUCAUGGGGUCGUAGGUGGGGGGUUUGUUUGGUUAAUUUUGUUCACUGCUUGCCUGAGGCUAGCGUUCUUGAAAAUCUAACAGGUAUUUCAAUUCCCUUAAGGUGAAAAAUUGCAUUUAGAGGACUUCAUUUUCGAUUCUCACCAUUUUCAAAGAUGUCAGGGAGUUUCUCCUGAAAUUAUGGGAAAACGGUAUUGUUAGAUGAAAGGAGCAUAUCUUAGAAAAGGGGGGAGGAGGAGGGAGAGAGAAAGAAAGGGAGAGGUAAAGAAAGGGAAGGAAGGAAGAGAGAGCCUGGUGGGAGAGUUUAUCCCUAAGACAUCUUUCCCCACUUGUCAGUAAGGUAGCUCCUGGACCCGCCUGACUCCUGAAUUUCUCAUUUUUCAGAGGUAAACAUGGCACAUUUUAAAUUGUACUCAGGGAUGAGGGAAAUGGUUUUCAUUAAAAACAGAAUUCCUUUCAUAAACCAAUAGAUCUAGUCACCCUAGGAAAAGCAUGUAGAUUUGGUUUUCUGACCACGAUACCCCAUUAUUAUUACAAUGCAUGAGGUGAUUUGACCUUAAACGGGCUACCAUCCUACAUGGAUCUAGUCUUACACUACCUGCUUGGGGAAUAAAAUAUCUUGAGUUGUGCUAGCUGCGACCAGCUUUUCCAUGGCUUCUCCGGCUUAUUUUCCAUGCUGUUCAGGUAAACAUGGUGGUCCCCUUUGACUGAGUCACCGAUUUUGUCUGACUGCACCAGCUGAUGUGUCUGAAAUAUCAAACCGUUUGACAGGGACAUGAGGCCUCUCAUGUACUGAACUAGAAUUUUAUAAUGUCUUUGAUUAAGAACAUGAACUUGAAACACAGGAACCAUAAGGAUGUUCUUUUGUCCAGUCGUGAAAAGAUGGGGAUUUAUAAUGUAUGGUGAUUCUUUGCACAUUUUGUGAAACCCCCAUAGCCUUCCUUACAGGGAAAAAGGCAUUUACAGUUACUAAGUUGAAGAUGAAAUAAAAGUCAAUUGACUGCAUGUUUCAGCAGUUCCUACCUCAGAAUGGAAAAUUACAUACAUCAUUGGGUUCUAAAGUGUAAUAAAUGGGUGGAUGUUAGUUCUUGUUUCUCACUUUGCUAUAAAUAUUACUGUGCCUCAAAAUAUUUGAAGUAAUUCUCAUCUUCAUUUUUGCUGUAUGUAAAUAUUCUUGAAAAUGACUCUUAUCUUCCUAUAUUUUUUUAAAUAUAGGAGAUUAGUCUCUGUCUAUAACACAGGGAAACAAGACUUUCUGAAAUAUCCCGGAUACAUAUAUAAAGGACAGAAAGGUUGUAUGUGAGACCUUGAAAAGAAUGUGAUUUUUUUAUGACAAUUUAUCAUUUAUCCUGGAUCAACAUUUUCUAGCACUCUUCUAGCUUUGCUAAAGCAAAUUGUGUUUUAUGUCCCCAGCAGAAUACUCGAUAACUGGUCUGGCGAUGAUGAGGCAUAAUAGGAGUUAUCUGGUCCCAGGAAAGUCAUUGGUUUGCGUUCACUGCCAGAGUCUGGUUAUCAUUGCAGGGCAGGAUUAUCUCAUUGUUUUCUGCUGCCAUGAUUUUGUUUUGACUUCUCAAAUCUCCACAGAACACUCAUUUAGAAAACCCUCCACAGUGGUUUGUUCUUACUGGGGAAACGAAGGCAGUGGGGAGGGAAGGACAGAAGGAUUUUCUUUCUUUUUCUGAGUCCGUCCUGGGCAGAGAGUAAGAUGCAGUUUUUUCUUAGCGUUGUCAGUGCAAGCCUAGCCCUUUCACUGCCCAGUUUAUUACUCCUAUGCAUCGCCUUAAGAUAUUGCUCCAAAGAUCAAUACCCUGAUUUCCUUUCCAUCUGCCUAGACUAAGAUAAUUAGGCUCUUUACUUCAUUUUGUAUGUAAUGAAGGCGGCAACUCGUGAUAGUAGAGGAAAAAAGCUAUCUCCCUAUGGUAAAUGUAUUGACAUUUACAGAUACCAGCGGAGCACAACAUGAGGAGAGUAAUGAGAAAUUUCACUGCUUUCCCCUCUUUCUCUGUUUCCUGGCUAGAUCCCACAGCGAAUCACUAGCUGCAAAGAGAAGGGACGGCUUAGGGACCGACAAUUGAGAGCAUUUACAAUUAGCUGCAUUGAUUAACCUUUACAAAUGCUGUUACUUUAUGAGGUGUUUUUCUCAGCCCUGGUUGAACAGUAUGCGUUAUUGAUUCAACAUACUCCUUUACGAAAGCCCUGAUUUGUCCGUGACUCCACCAGUCAUAAUGCCUGCCUUGGUAGUCGUUUCUGCAUGUUCUCGGGAAAACUUGACACGGAAGACUGAUUGGCAUUAUGUAAAUGGGGUCCACAUCUUCCUUUAGGAAGGGUGUACAGCCGGCAGAAACCAGGGCGUAGACCUGCCUCCCUUCAUCCCCAUCGCCAGGCGCAGACACAAAGGAUGCCAGCCUCGCGCCAGCCGCUUACUGCUGCCCAAUUCACAGCAUCACUCCUAAUAAGCGGCCUGCAGGAGGAAAAGAGCCUCAGACACUCCUCCAUCUCCUCUGUAUUCCCUGGUUUUUAUUUAGGUUUCCUGAAAUAAUUUGGAGUGUGUGUGCAUGCGUGUGUGUAUGUGUGAAAGAGAGAGAGAGGGAGGGAGAGAGAGAGUUUGUGUAAGGGAAAGGGGUGGUGGGAAAUUGUCCAAAAAAUUGUUUUUAGCUUAAUUUUCUUCGAAGAUUGUAGACCGACUUUGAUUGCCGCUUUGGCUGGUGAUUCCAAAAUCUAUGGUGGAAGGCAUUUUCCUUUCAUCAGUUUGAUUCAGAGAAGCUCAGUGCUUAGAAAUAAUAAAUAUCACCUAGAAAUGGCUGCCUUCCACCCCUCCUGCCCCAUAGAACUAUAUGAAUAUAAAUUGAAUACUAUUUUCUUUUUCUUCCUCUCUUGCUUCCCUCUCUCCCCAUUUCUUCCUUUGAGCCUUCCCUUAUUCUUCAUUUCAAGGUGUACAUUAGUAUCAUCUGAAAGAUAAAAGGACUAAAAGCUUGAAAUACUACAGAGUAAAUCCAUCAGCUGUUCUGUCAGGAUUCCUAAAAUGUAUUCUGCACCCAAGACCAGUUAUAUGAUAUGCAGUGCAAAAUAAAGAUGCAGGGCCCCUUGUUCAUAAAUUAUUAAAAAUUUCUAAACAGUAACAGCAGAGUGUUAAACCCAGCUCUGUUCCUCUAAGAAUGAGGCUUGUGUGAUUGCACAGAUCACACACCCAGGAAGUAGGCCCUGCCAUCAUCUUUGCCAACAGUUAUUUCUGAAAAGAUAGUAGGAGACAGGGGCCUGGGUGGGGGGAAGGUAGUAUUUGUUUUCUUUCCCAACUCGAGUUUAAACUUCUCUAUUGUGAGACUCAUUUUUUCUGGAUCAUGCCAAAUUGCAUAUGCUCCUUUAUGACUUGAAAUGCCACUUAGUUGGGUUUGAACUGAGAGCACCGCCUUUAUGCCCAUCUUCUGCAUAGCAGAUUCCAGCGACUUGAAGCACUUUUUCCAUGCCAGAAUUCUGAGACUGGAGUAUUUGUCACUUUGCGCUUCCAGGAACGGCUGAAAAAAGUUUAUUUUGCUUUAUGUGAUUAAACUGAAUGUUUGUCUUGAUGCAAAUGCAUAUACAUGUGCAUUUAUUCUAAUAUACAUAUCCAAACACAUGGGAUUUUUUUUUCCCGUACAUACAUGUGCAUAACAGAAUUGAGUUUAUGGUUUUCCAAGACACAGCUGAACAAUGAUGGAAGACAGCCAUUUUUUUUUUUAAUGAAGAGUUGAUGCAUUUUUAAAGGAAAAAAAUCAGGAAGCUGCUCUAACAGACUCUGCAGCAUUCACAGCAUGACAAACAAAUUAGAAAACAGCAGAUGCAGCACAAAUUAAGAUGUAUUUAGCACAGCAGCCCAUCAGAUGUGUGAACGUCUUUUGUAACUCAGCUUUGCAAGGUUGAUGUAUUGCACUUUAGACAGCUGAUAAUGAACCCUCCUAGCAAUUAGAAGUGGAAAUACUGAGGAGUCAAAAUUGUGCUGUUCCCAGUGGGC